Malus domestica (apple) is the source of this 418-nucleotide non-coding RNA. Lineage: Eukaryota; Viridiplantae; Streptophyta; Magnoliopsida; Rosales; Rosaceae. The record is from RefSeq and is a predicted model, not a curated record.
UUUAUUAAGGUUAAUACUGGUAGACUGCUUAAGAAAUGGCAUGCUCACUAUAGAGGUGUUAGUUGCUUGGUAUUUCGGGAUGAUGGCUCCCUGCUGAUUUCGGGGUCGGAGGAUGGAGGCAUUAGAGUUUGGUCUCUUACAGAUUAUUCAGUGAUUAUCAAAGUCAACAAGAAAGCCAUUUGUACAUGCAUAACUUUACGGAGCACACUCUUUUUGUAACGGAUGUGGUCGCAAGAUAUGGUGGAUGCAACCAUUAUAAUGCCAGCAUCUCAGGAUCACACGUUGGGAGAGAUGGCAAGAUAUGCGUUGCUGCACUAAAUGCUGAGAGCCCACUUAACAGCAAGUAUGGGUUGCAUCUCAUCGAUUGUUUCUCGAAUCACAAGUCUCUCUUUUCCUAUAGGGAACCUGUUGAUGAACU